CCUACGGGAGGCAGCAGUGAGGAAUAUUGGUCAAUGGACGAGAGUCUGAACCAGCCAAGUAGCGUGAAGGAUGACUGCCCUAUGGGUUGUAAACUUCUUUUAUAUGGGAGUAAAAUGUUCCACGUGUGGGAUUUUGUAUGUACCAUAUGAAUAAGGAUCGGCUAACUCCGUGCCAGCAGCCGCGGUAAUACGGAGGAUCCGAGCGUUAUCCGGAUUUCUUGGGUUUAAAGGGAGCGUAUGUGGAUUGUUAAGUCAGUUGUGAAAGUUUGCGGCUCAACCGUAAAAUUGCAGUUGAAACUGGCAGUCUUGAGUACAGUAGAGGUGGGCGGAAUGCGUGGUGUAGCGGUGAAAUGCUUAGAUAUCACGAAGAACUCCGAUUGCGAAGGCAGCUCACUGGACUGCAACUGACACUGAUGCUCGAAAGUGUGGGUAUCAAACAGGAUUAGAUACCCGUGUAGUC
RNAcentral lists this ribosomal RNA (460 nucleotides) under uncultured bacterium. Its description in RNAcentral is "partial 16S ribosomal RNA". It matches the Rfam family "Bacterial small subunit ribosomal RNA", at positions 338 to 795 of the family's 1533-position model. The record is from RNAcentral.